UUAGCAUAUCAAUAAGCGGAGGAAAAGAAACCAACCGGGAUUGCCCUAGUAACGGCGAGUGAAGCGGCAACAGCUCAAAUUUGAAAUCUGGCCCUCGUGGUCCGAGUUGUAAUUUGUAGAGGAUGCUUUUGGUGCGGUACCUUCCGAGUUCCCUGGAACGGGACGCCAUAGAGGGUGAGAGCCCCGUCUGGUUGGAUACCAACCCUCUGUAAAGCUCCUUUGACGAGUCGAGUAGUUUGGGAAUGCUGCUCAAAAUGGGAGGUAUAUGUUUUUUAAAGCUAAAUAUUGGCCAGAGACCGAUAGCGCACAAGUAGAGUGAUCGAAAGAUGAAAAGCACUUUGAAAAGAGGGUUAAAUAGUACGUGAAAUUGUUGAAAGGGAAGCGUUUGUGACCAGACUUGGGCCCGGUUAAUCAUCCGGCGUUCUUGCCGGUGCACUUUGCCGGCCCAGGCCAGCAUCAGUUUGCUGCGGGGGAAAAAGGCUUUGGGAAUGUGGCUCCUCUGGAGUGUUAUAGCCCGUUGUGCAAUACCCUGUGGUGGACUGAGGUUCGCGCAUCUGCAAGGAUGCUGGCGUAAUGGUCAUCAACGACCCGUCUUGAAACACGGACCAAGGAGUUGUCUUUGUAUGCGAGUGUUCGGGUGUCAAACCCCUACGCGUAAUGAAAGUGAACGGAGGUGGGAGCCUCGGCGCACCAUCGACCGAUCCUGAUGUUUUUGGAUGGAUUUGAGUAAGAGCAUACGGGGCCGGACCCGAAAGAAGGUGAACUAUGCCUGUAUAGGGUGAAGCCAGAGGAAACUCUGGUGGAGGCUCGCAGCGGUUUUGACGUGCAAAUCGAUCGUCAAAUAUGGGCAUGGGGGCGAAAGACUAAUCGAACCUUCUAGUAGCUGGUUUCCGCCGAAG
This 899-nucleotide ribosomal RNA is filed under the name Thyronectria lamyi. RNAcentral's name for it is "LSU rRNA". It matches the Rfam family "Eukaryotic large subunit ribosomal RNA", at positions 35 to 966 of the family's 3401-position model. The record is from RNAcentral. Lineage: Eukaryota; Fungi; Ascomycota; Sordariomycetes; Hypocreales; Nectriaceae.